Molecule: ribosomal RNA, 406 nt
Filed under: uncultured bacterium
Lineage: Bacteria
Description: partial 16S ribosomal RNA
Rfam family: Bacterial small subunit ribosomal RNA
Source: RNAcentral
AUUGAACGCUGGCGGCAGGCCUAACACAUGCAAGUCGAGCGAGCGGCGGACGGGUGAGUAAUGUCUGGGAAACUGCCUGAUGGAGGGGGAUAACUACUGGAAACGGUAGCUAAUACCGCAUACCCUCAGAUGUGCCCCGGUGGGAGUAGAUAGUGGUUGGGGUACAGGCUCACCUAGGCGACGAUCCCUAGCUGGUCUGAGAGGAUGACCAGCCACACUGGAACUGAGAGACGGGCCAGACUCCUACGGGAGGCAGCAGUGGGGAAUAUUGCACAAUGGGCGCAAGCCUGAUGCAGCCAUGCCGCGUGUGUGAAGAAGGCCUUCGGGUUGUAAAGCACUUUCAGCGGGGAGGCGUUACCCGCAGAAGAAGCACCGGCUAACUCCGUGCCAGCCGCCGCGGUAAUUC